This is a long non-coding RNA of Triticum dicoccoides, 660 nucleotides long. RefSeq lists it as uncharacterized. NCBI's taxonomy places the organism in Eukaryota, Viridiplantae, Streptophyta, Magnoliopsida, Poales, Poaceae. The record is from RefSeq and is a predicted model, not a curated record. The transcript is spliced from 3 exons.
GCCCGCGCCCCCAACCCCCAACCCCACCCAACGCUUCACCGCCGCUACGGUUUCUCACCCAACCUUCCCCGCCGCCGCUCGCACAGGAGGAACAAGCCCGAGUCUCCAGCGGCCAUGAGCAACGGCAAGGACACCCUUGACCUCUCCACCUUCGGUGCCGCUGUCCCGCUCCUGCUCCCGCGUGUCUGAUCCGGUAACUGUUGUUCCAUGAGUCCUUUGAUGAGGGCUUCGAGGGGAGCUGGAUCGUCUACAGCAAGGAAGAGUGUGCAGGUGUACGGAAGCACGAGAAGAGUGAUAGUCAUGAAGACUAUGAUCUCCUUGAUAGCGAGCCAGCCAGGAUAUAUGCCAUAGUCAAAGAGCUUGAUAGUCCUAUUACUUUGAAGGAUGGGUUGUCCUGUAGUUUGAAGUGAGGCUUCAGAAUGGCCAUACUGUUAUUAGCUUACUCUUCAUGUCUUAAUUUUUUUCUAUGCUCAAUGUAGCUAUAUUAGACGGUUGCUUGUGUAGUUGUAUUCCCGAUGUGAAGUCUAUGGUUUUGUGGCAGUCAUGUGUGCACCACAUAAGCUUAGCUAUGUUAGUUCCGUGAUCAUGAUUGGCUCACUGUCCAUAUCUUGAUGUGAUUUUGUGCUUAAAACAGUUCUCCAGUUAGGCUAAUCUUGAUUU